This 468-nucleotide ribosomal RNA is filed under the name uncultured bacterium. Its description in RNAcentral is "partial 16S ribosomal RNA". It matches the Rfam family "Bacterial small subunit ribosomal RNA", at positions 28 to 507 of the family's 1533-position model. The record is from RNAcentral.
GACGAACGCUGGCGGCGUGCUUAACACAUGCAAGUCGAACGGAAAGGCCCUGCUUUUGUGGGGUGCUCGAGUGGCGAACGGGUGAGUAACACGUGAGUAACCUGCCCUUGACUUUGGUAUAACUUCAGGAAACUGGGGCUAAUACCGGAUAGGAGCUCCUGCUGCAUGGUGGGGGUUGGAAAGUUUCGGCGGUUGGGGAUGGACUCGCGGCUUAUCAGCUUGUUGGUGGGGUAGUGGCUUACCCAGUCUUUGACGGGUAGCCGGCCUGAGAGGGUGACCGGCCACAUUGGGACUGAGAUACGGCCCAGACUCCUACGGGAGGCAGCAGUGGGGAAUAUUGCACAAUGGGCGGAAGCCUGAUGCAGCAACGCCGCGGGCGGGAUGACGGACUUCGGGGUGUAAACAGCUUUCGCCUGUGACGAAGCGUGAGUGACGGUAAUGGGUAAAGAAGCACCGGCUAACUACGUG